Molecule: long non-coding RNA, 835 nt
Filed under: Rattus norvegicus (Norway rat)
Lineage: Eukaryota; Metazoa; Chordata; Mammalia; Rodentia; Muridae
Description: long non-coding RNA NONRATT016424
Source: RNAcentral
GAUGGGGGACGAGGUGUCAAUCAUCUGCACCCUGUUGGGAAAUAAUUAUUUCUCCCACUGUUUGUCUAUAUAUUAGGGUCCUUGUUACACGUUGUCUUAUACUGGUUGCUUUAAUUCUUGACCACAUCUCCCAAACACAGGGUUCUUAAAAAGACAGAUAAAUCAUACAUUUUUAUUAUCUUCCAAAGUUUCCCCCCCCCACAUUCCCCCCAAAAAUGGACUGCAUAUAUCCCAAACAGGAUGCACUCUACUAACUAUGUAUAGAACUGUGUAUCUUUAGUGCAUAUAAUCAAUGGAACGGUAGGCCUGUGGUUAGUGUUAUCCAUGUGGGAUGACUUUUUGAAGCCUGAUUAAUUUUAUUUGGGCCCAUUUACUUCCCUAGAUUUCUUUACAGGUUAUAAAAAAAAAAAAAAAAAAGUGAAGUGUGUGGCUGAUGUUGGCUUUUCUAGAGGACAUGAGGACUCUUCCUCUAACUGGCCUGUAAUAAGAAAUCUAGGCUUCUCUCCUUCCGUGGCCUCAGAGACCACAGAGGCCAGGAUUCUCUGGAAUUCUUUGCUAACCGUGACCUCACGGACUCAAGUUUAAUAUGGCGUGCUUUGUCCUCACCCCACUGUCUGAGGAACCUGCCAUUUGACUAACCUUAUAAGUUCCUAUCAGUUGGUGAAACUUAAAAGUUGCUGUCCUUUACUCCAGGUGACCUCACCUGUCCAACCUCCCCCUGUUCCUCCAGCUCAUUCCUCAUCUGUGUGACGUCAUCCCUCAACUAGUUAUCGAAUUGAUUUAGGAUAAUUCACUAAAGUAUGCACUGUGCAAUUAAUAAAUGUUUGCUAAAACA